GGAUGGUGAUUUGAAGGAACUGGGAAUUAAAACGGAUGGUUCUCGACAACAAAUUCUGGCAGCUAUUUCUGAGCUGAAUGCAGGAAAGGGCCGAGAAAGAAAAAUUUUACAGGAGACCAUACACAACUUUCACUCUUCCUUUGAAAGCAGUGUUAGCAACACUAGCCCUGGAAAACCUCAGUCACCUGGAUGCUGGGUGAGGCCACAAGAACCUUCUCCUACUAAGAGGUAGUUUUUGAACCAAGGUGUCUCACUACCUCGCCACGGUGUCCUGAAGAAAAGUAUCAU
Podarcis muralis (Common wall lizard) is the source of this 288-nucleotide non-coding RNA. Lineage: Eukaryota; Metazoa; Chordata; Lepidosauria; Squamata; Lacertidae. The record is from RefSeq and is a predicted model, not a curated record.